RNAcentral lists this long non-coding RNA (1271 nucleotides) under Anolis carolinensis (green anole). Its description in RNAcentral is "lncRNA (ENSACAG00000036559.1)". Lineage: Eukaryota; Metazoa; Chordata; Lepidosauria; Squamata; Anolidae. The record is from RNAcentral.
UUAAAGCAAAGUGAAGAGCCUGCUUUGAUUGAAGUCCAAAAUCAGAAACUCCUCAAAGCACAGCAGACAAAAAAUCAGUACAAGAAAACCACACUACAAACUAGAGCUGACAGCUGGCACAACAAAACAUUGCAUGGAAAGUUCCUUGACAAAAUUGAAGGAAAAGCUGACAAGGAGAAGACCUGGCUCUGGCUCACGAAUGGGACCCUGAAGAAGGAGACAUUGACAAAAUUACGAUCUGCCAACUGCAAAAGGCCACCCUGCUGGGAUCUGCGCGCAUCAUCCAAAAAUACAUCACAUAGUCCUAGACACUUGGGAAGUGUUCAACUUGUGAUUUUGUGAAACGAAAUCCAGCAUAUCUAUCUUGUUUGUUGUGUCAUAAUAAAAUAAUAAUAAUAAAAUAUCCUCAAACAUAAAGGUAAAAUAUUAUAUAUUGUAUCAAAUGUAUUAAGCAAAAUAUUAGAAAUAUAAUAAAAUAUAAUAAUAUAGUACAGAAGAGUCUCACUUAUCCAACAUAAACGGGCUGGCAGAAUAUUGGAUAAGUGAAUAUGUUGGAUAAUAAGGCGAGAUUAAGGAGAAGCCUAUUAAACAUCAAAUUAGGUUAUGAUUUUACAAAUUAAGCACCAAAACAUCAUGUUAUACUACAAAUUUGACAGAAAAAGUAGUUCAAUAUGCAGUAAUGCUACGUAGUAAUUACUGUAUUUACGAAUUUAGCACCAAAAUAUCAUGAUGUAUUGAAAACAUUGACUACCAAAAUGCGUUGGAUAAUCCAGAAUGUUGGAUAAGCGAAUAUUGGAUAAGUGAGACUCUACUGUAUUAUUAAAAAUAAUACCAAAAUAAAUAAACAAUUAUAGGUAUAUGCCAUUUUCUCUCUCUUAAAAGAGACAUGAUGGUCAAUCUCUACCAAGCGCUGAUCAUAUACCUAUUAUCAUUAUUAUUAUUAGUAGUAGUAGUAGUAGUAUUGGUAGUAGUAAAUAAUAAUAAUAAUAGGUAUAUGCCAUUUUUGUCUCCCUUAAAAGGGACACAAUGGUCAAUCUCCACCAAGUGCUGACAAUAUACAUUUUAUUAUUAGUAGUAUUAGUAUUAGUAUUGGUAGUAGUAAAUAAUACUAAUAAUAAUAAUAAUAAUAAUAAUAAUAAUAGGUAUAUGCCAUUUAUGUCUCCCUUAAAAGGGACAUGAUGGUCAAUCUCUACCAAGAGCUGAUAAUGUAUAUUUUAUUAUUAGUAGUCUUAGUAUUAGUAUUGGUAGUAGUAAAUAAUAAUGAUAAUAAU